CACCUGCGCCACGAGUGGGAGCCACUUUUAUUGGGUCUAAAGCGUUCGUAGCUGGAGUAUUAACUCCCUUGUGAAAUUGUUGUGCUUAACAUAACAUCGUGCAAGGGAAACUGAUACUCUUGAGACUGGGAAGAGGUAGGAGUAUGCCAGGGGGAGCGGUAAAAUGUUAUAAUCCUUGGUAGACUACCUGUGGCGAAGGCGCCUACCUAGAACAGGUCUGACAGUGAGGGACGAAGGCUAGGGGAGCAAAACG
This 253-nucleotide ribosomal RNA is filed under the name uncultured archaeon. RNAcentral's name for it is "partial 16S ribosomal RNA". It matches the Rfam family "Archaeal small subunit ribosomal RNA", at positions 474 to 726 of the family's 1478-position model. The record is from RNAcentral.